Molecule: long non-coding RNA, 1256 nt
Organism: Nerophis ophidion (straightnose pipefish)
Lineage: Eukaryota; Metazoa; Chordata; Actinopteri; Syngnathiformes; Syngnathidae
Exons: 3
Source: RefSeq, a predicted model, not a curated record
AUGUACAGCUACUUAAAAGUGUUCAUCUUAUGAGAUAACAUCUACGCUCCAACCUGCUCUGUCGCAGAAUGAGGGCCGAGACGGUGGCGAAGAGAGUCCCCACAAAGCCGUUGAGUGCCCACCAGUAGUUCUGCAGUAUGAGGCCGGCAAAAAUAAUGAGGCCACUCAGGGGGUUGUUGACAAACAUAACCUGGGCAGCUCCGCGCAGAACCCAGUCCAGUAAUUGGAGCAAGAAAAACUGUUCUGGGAAGACAAUAAAGAAGACAAAAAAAACCUGCUCGCCUCUGGACACGCUCGCGGGAGUUCCUCUCCUGCUCCUCACUCAAUCAACGAUCAACACACCUGCCGCUGAUGAGAGCUCAACGUCCUUCAUAAGCCAGUGGAUCCUGCGUUCCAGUCCCAGAACGUAACUACUUGUCUCGCACAGUCCUCUUCGUUCCCUGGAUUUCGAGCUGUGUGUCUCGUCUCCCCGGAUUCUCUCCUGUUUUCCUGCUGCCUUCCUGGAUUUGAACCUCUUGCCUAGACACGGACUCUGACGCCUCGCUCCUGCCCUUGCUUGCCCAAGGACCUCCGAACCUGCCUUGCUCCUUCUGAACUUCCGCCCCUUCCUCAACACGCACUUUAAACAGCUCCCGGUAACACUCGACAUAUAAUCGCUUCGCAAAGUCACACCGCACGUAUUUGGAUUAUUGCACACGUCAUUCUAUUAUUUUAAUAAACACGCCUAAGGCUCAGCGAUGUGCCGUCUCCUUCUCCACCGCACAUAACAAAAAUAUAGAAAAUGAAAAAAUAACCUUAGGGAAAAAAAUUAGGGUUAAAACAUUUGUAUUAGGUACAACACUUAAAACCUUUAUCACAUCAGUAUGUGGAAUUAAAUGAUGGAAUGAACCAAGCAAAGAAGUCAACGUACUAAUAUGAUAGUUUGUGUUUAUUAACGUGGUCAUGUUCUGUUCUUUUUUCUACGUUUAAAACACUUUCCUGUGGUCUACAUAACAAUGACGGUUCUUUAGUCAAAAGUUUGUAUUAUGGUUUACAGACCAUCUUCAAAUUGCUUUCUGAUCAUCUUUUCUGAACGCGCCUGUGGGUGGGCGUGGCCUGCGGACCUGCCGCGAAGCGGGUGUGCCAGGGCCGGCUUCGAGAUCAGCGGCAGGUGCGUAGAUAACACAGCUGAGAGUGUUUGUCUGAAGGCAGCAGUCGGUAAGGGGAAGUUGAUGGUGGAGAGUGAGCAUGAGCGAGAGCGGGUGAAGGAGUUGAUA